Molecule: long non-coding RNA, 690 nt
Organism: Macrobrachium nipponense
Lineage: Eukaryota; Metazoa; Arthropoda; Malacostraca; Decapoda; Palaemonidae
Exons: 4
Source: RefSeq, a predicted model, not a curated record
UUCGAAUAUUCGAACAUGGCGGCCUUCGACUGUAACAUUAUUCUUGGCUGUAGACGUUUUACGGGAAUUUGCUAAGUGAACGUUUUUUUGUGUACGAAGAAGCCGAUUAUCAAGCGACUGGUCUGCAGCUGGCGUUUGAGGUUUCCAUCGAUUGUCACUUCGUUGGUCAAGUUAUCAACGCAGGUGUUCUGCAAGGUGAUGUUUGGCACGAGUUUUGACUUACUAUGAGGUCCUGUUCUCGCUGUAAAGCUUCAAGCAUGAUAAAGCUGCUUUCUUUAGCAACAGGAGGUUCUUGUUGCAGUUGACGUGCGAGCUAAGUGGUUGGUACCGGUUGGGUAGUUCCUUGUCUCGAGAACUUGGCGGUUUGUCUUAUUUUCGGCAUUGCAUUGAAGUAUCGAUAAUUACGACGUUAAUGGGGAUAGUCUCGAUGUACCGUGGUACUGUGACCAUGUAAUGGUUUGGGACGUAGCCGCACGAAUCGCUGGCUGCGUUUUACUCUUAUAACAGAAGAAAGUGAGAGGAAAAUGAGAUGACAGUGAUAGUCGGUAACCAACGAGGAUUUCUGCACUUGCUCCUAUAGGUUUCACUAUGUCAGCCAUUUGCUUUGCAAGGCUUAAUUAAGCGUACUUUCCAACACUUAAUGUUUUCUCGGCAAGAUGCUUAUUUGCAUGGUUUUGAUGUUAUCAAGAG